This 178-nucleotide microRNA precursor is filed under the name Paramuricea clavata. Lineage: Eukaryota; Metazoa; Cnidaria; Anthozoa; Malacalcyonacea; Plexauridae. The record is from RNAcentral.
CAAAACUGGUGUAAAAGCUAUAAUAAUAGAGUUGUAAAACCAAAAACUUCGCUAGCGGUUUGACGUUUGCCGUAAACGUCAAUCUUAAGGUCUCUAUUGACGUUUACGGCAAACGGCAAACCGCUAGCGAAGUUUUUGAUUUUACAACUCUAUUAUAAUAGCUUUUACACCAGUUUUG